GACGAACGCUGGCGGCGUGCUUAACACAUGCAAGUCACGGGGGCUCGCAAGAGCAACCGGCGAACGGGUGCGUAACACGUGAGCAACCUGCCGAUCUGAGGGGGAUAGCCGGCCCAACGGCCGGGUAAUACCGCAUACGUUCUCGAGAGGGAGUCCUCUUGGGAAGAAACCUCCGGGGCAGAUCGAGGGGCUCGCGGCCUAUCAGCUAGUUGGUGAGGUAACGGCUCACCAAGGCAUCGACGGGUAGCUGGUCUGAGAGGAUGGCCAGCCACAUUGGGACUGAGAGACGGCCCAGACUCCUACGGGAGGCAGCAGUGGGGAAUCUUGCGCAAUGGCCGAAAGGCUGACGCAGCGACGCCGCGUGUGGGAUGAAGCAUUUCGGUGUGUAACCAACUGUUGCCCGGGACGAACAUCCUCUUUCGAGAGGACUGACGGUACCGGGUGAGGAAGCACCGGCUAACUCCGUGCCAGCCGCC
RNAcentral lists this ribosomal RNA (476 nucleotides) under uncultured bacterium. RNAcentral describes it as "bacterial SSU rRNA". It matches the Rfam family "Bacterial small subunit ribosomal RNA", at positions 28 to 516 of the family's 1533-position model. The record is from RNAcentral.